UAAGGGGAGGGGGCAAUCUUACCGUGCCAGUCGAGGGGUAGAGUUAGCUUGCUGACUUGAGACCGGCGCACGGGUGCGUAACGCGUAUGCAAUCUACCUUGUACAGGGGGAUAGCCCAGAGAAAUUUGGAUUAAUACCCCAUAGUGUAAUUGGAAGGCAUCUUUUGAUUACUAAAGUUCCAACGGUACAAGAUGAGCAUGCGUCCCAUUAGCUAGUUGGUGUGGUAACGGCAUACCAAGGCGACGAUGGGUAGGGGUCCUGAGAGGGAGAUCCCCCACACUGGUACUGAGACACGGACCAGACUCAUACGGGAGGCAGCAGUGAGGAAUAUUGGUCAAUGGGCGCAAGCCUGAACCAGCCAUGCCGCGUGCAGGAUGACGGUCCUAUGGAUUGUAAACUGCUUUUGUGCAGGAAGAAACACUCCCUCGUGAGGGAGCUUGACGGUACUGUAAGAAUAAGGAUCGGCUAACUCCGUGCCAGCAGCCGCGGUAAUACGGAGGAUCCAAGCGUUAUCCGGAAUCAUUGGGUUUAAAGGGUCCGUAGGCGGUUUUAUAAGUCAGUGGUGAAAUCUGGUCGCUCAACGAUCAAACGGCCAUUGAUACUGUAGAACUUGAAUUACUUGGAAGUAACUAGAAUAUGUAGUGUAGCGGUGAAAUGCUUAGAGAUUACAUGGAAUACCAAUUGCGAAGGCAGGUUACUACGAGUAUAUUGACGCUGAUGGACGAAAGCGUGGGGAGCGAACAGGAUUAGAUACCCUGGUAGUCCACGCCGUAAACGAUGGAUACUAGCUGUUUGGAGCAAUCUGAGUGGCUAAGCGA
Molecule: ribosomal RNA, 818 nt
Filed under: Flavobacterium terrae
Lineage: Bacteria; Pseudomonadati; Bacteroidota; Flavobacteriia; Flavobacteriales; Flavobacteriaceae
Description: bacterial SSU rRNA
Rfam family: Bacterial small subunit ribosomal RNA
Source: RNAcentral